AUGAUGGGUUCGAGAGAGACCUUCUCUAAGUCAGUAUACGCAUGAUAACAGAGUGAGGAGGCGCCGAAGGGGAAAGUGAACAUUUGAAACUCUCAGGCAAAAGGAUUGAAUCCGGACG
This 118-nucleotide non-coding RNA is filed under the name Hespellia stercorisuis. RNAcentral describes it as "Glycine sequence". It matches the Rfam family "Glycine riboswitch aptamer". From Rfam's summary of the family: This family represents the bacterial glycine riboswitch. Glycine riboswitches usually consist of two metabolite-binding aptamers domains with similar structures in tandem. The record is from RNAcentral. RNAcentral also lists the same sequence under 1 other name. Lineage: Bacteria; Bacillati; Bacillota; Clostridia; Lachnospirales; Lachnospiraceae.